Molecule: transfer RNA, 73 nt
Filed under: Pangasianodon hypophthalmus (striped catfish)
Lineage: Eukaryota; Metazoa; Chordata; Actinopteri; Siluriformes; Pangasiidae
Description: tRNA-Gly
Source: RNAcentral
UCCCUGGAGGACUAGUGGUUAGGCCACAGCAUUCCCACUGCUGCGGCCCGGGUUCAAUUCGCCAGCCAGGGAA